RNAcentral lists this long non-coding RNA (224 nucleotides) under Phoenix dactylifera (date palm). Its description in RNAcentral is "long non-coding RNA (PDAC_LNC020315)". Lineage: Eukaryota; Viridiplantae; Streptophyta; Magnoliopsida; Arecales; Arecaceae. The record is from RNAcentral.
UAGGGGUGGCAAAAUAUGACCCGACCCGCCAACCCGACCCGCGUUCGACCCGCCAUAAACAGGUUUGGGUUUGGUCUAAACGGGUUCGGGUCGGAUACGGGUUUUAAAUGUCUGACCCGUUUAUUAAUUGGGUCAGAUACGGGUUUUAAAUGUCUGACCCGUGUAACCCGUUUAACCCGUUUAGCUAUUGGGCUGAUAGACCCGCUUCAGAGUUCAGCCCGUUU